This 21-nucleotide non-coding RNA is filed under the name Caenorhabditis elegans. Lineage: Eukaryota; Metazoa; Nematoda; Chromadorea; Rhabditida; Rhabditidae. The record is from RNAcentral.
UGGAAUGUAUGGAACUGUCCG